GAGGGUAGGCCCCUCGGAGUCGGCUUGCAGGAGCAGGCUCCAAACCACCUCAAGCUGCAUAGGUUAAGAGCCUUUUGUGGUGAGCGUUGAGGGAAAGUCAUAGCAUAAGACUAUGGCGAGG
This 121-nucleotide non-coding RNA is filed under the name uncultured Desulfobacterium sp. The record is from RNAcentral. Lineage: Bacteria; Pseudomonadati; Thermodesulfobacteriota; Desulfobacteria; Desulfobacterales; Desulfobacteriaceae.